CCUCACCCCGGAGAGGGAUGCCUACGUGGAAGCGGUCCUGUCUGUUUCCAACGCCAGUGUUGCCCAGCUCCAUACGGCUGGGUAUAGGAGAGAGUUCCUGGAAUACCAUCGUCCCCCUGGGGCUGUGCAUACCUGCGGGGGCCCAGGGGCCUUCCACCUCAUCGUGCACCUGAAGGCAGGAGAUGGAGUCAACGUUGUGGUGACUGGGGGCAGAUUGGCUCACACAGACUUUGAUGAAAUGUACUCCACCUUUAGUGGCGUUUUCUUGUAUCCGUUCCUUUCCCACCUUUAGGGAGGCCAGGAGGGGAAGAGGCUGUAAAAACUCCAGAGCUUUUAAUAUAUUUGGUUUCUGUAGUUUGCUGCACACACUCUGCCUGCCUCCAGGAUAAAAGCCCUCACCUCCCUGUAGAGACGGACACCUCUCGUUUCCAGACAGCUGUGGAGGCAACACAUGGUUCAAUUCUGUCACUGUAACUGGACAACCAGAAGAUUUGUCAAGUCCCCUUUGCUGGAAGCUGGCUUCUCCUGUGCUGCCUAUAUGCCGCCAGUUCUGCCAGAGGCUUCUGGGUUGGGCCCCUUCGGUGCUACAGUGGAGGCCCAUGCUGCUCCCUGACUGGGCUGGGCCUGAUGCAGCUGGAAGACACUGUAGCGGACGCGUCCUCCACACUGCAUGUAGAAGACUUAAACACUGAAGUGCUGAUGUGGCCUGGACCCAGAGUUAGCCUGGGUUGUUCCACACUUGGCUGCUGGUACUGAUCUCUGCUACCAAGGUGGAUGUAAGAGACAUUAUUUAUGAGGCUUGCCGGGCUCCUUAAAUGACAUGUACGAUAUAAGUGCAAAGACAGGGAGCAUCAAUAAAGAUGUCAGAAUCACU
Molecule: long non-coding RNA, 874 nt
Filed under: Rattus norvegicus (Norway rat)
Lineage: Eukaryota; Metazoa; Chordata; Mammalia; Rodentia; Muridae
Description: long non-coding RNA NONRATT030390
Source: RNAcentral